GUCCGUUCAUCUCUUCGGAGACGCAUGACACCCAAGCAUGGAACGGGGCUUGGA
This 54-nucleotide non-coding RNA is filed under the name unclassified sequences. The record is from Rfam.